GCGGAAGUAGUUCAGUGGUAGAACACCACCUUGCCAAGGUGGGGGUCGCGAGUUCGAACCUCGUCUUCCGCUUCA
Molecule: transfer RNA, 75 nt
Filed under: [Bacillus] sp. KCTC 13219
Lineage: Bacteria; Bacillati; Bacillota; Bacilli; Caryophanales; Bacillaceae
Description: tRNA-Gly
Rfam family: tRNA
About the family: Transfer RNA (tRNA) molecules are approximately 80 nucleotides in length. Their secondary structure includes four short double-helical elements and three loops (D, anti-codon, and T loops). Further hydrogen bonds mediate the characteristic L-shaped molecular structure. tRNAs have two regions of fundamental functional importance: the anti-codon, which is responsible for specific mRNA codon recognition, and the 3' end, to which the tRNAs corresponding amino acid is attached (by aminoacyl-tRNA synthetases). tRNAs cope with the degeneracy of the genetic code in two manners: having more than one tRNA (with a specific anti-codon) for a particular amino acid; and 'wobble' base-pairing, i.e. permitting non-standard base-pairing at the 3rd anti-codon position.
Source: RNAcentral